This 6918-nucleotide long non-coding RNA is filed under the name Sus scrofa (pig). RNAcentral's name for it is "lncRNA (ENSSSCG00025046675.1)". The record is from RNAcentral. Lineage: Eukaryota; Metazoa; Chordata; Mammalia; Artiodactyla; Suidae.
GGACCUGACCAUGCUAGUACCCUGAUCUCAGACUUUCCCACCUCCAAAACUUUGAGAAAUAAAUAUCUGUGAUUUAAACCUCCCAGUCUGUGGUCUUUUGUUAUAGAAAUUCCAGGUAAAAUAGCAGGGUAGGGACCAAGUUAUUGGCAUUUCAGACUCUUCCCAGGGGCUGCUUAUUGUUAAGAAUGUGGGUUAUUUCUGUUCUCCGUUUCACCCCAAUCUGUCCCUUAUUUUAGUAUUAGCCUGCAGGGGUAAGAACAUAGGAAAAACAUAUUCAGUCCUUUUAUGCACAGUUUCUCUCCCCACACAGUUCAUAAGCUGCACCUGAGCAGGGUGAGAUGCAAGGCCUUUCAAAGUCCACGGUCAAGCCUUUAUCCUCUUUUCCCAUGGGGUCUAAAGUAGUAGGUGUAAAAUUUAAUCCUCUUGGGGCUUCUGGGCUUUCUUAUCCCAGAGGCAGUUUGGAUGAGUGGACCAAUGCAGAUGCCCUUGAUUAAUCUGGAAGAAGGGAGCCUGUUGAAACCUUAGGAUCUGCUACCACUUUCCUGCAAAACCUGGUCAAGAGGAAAGUCAGGUUGGCGUCGGGUGUUUGUAGAGCAAUGAGUGCAUCGUUUCUUUUUUGACAACUGAUGCUUGUGAGGAUGUGGCAUCCUUGGUUGAGAUCUCCAAAUUCCUGCUUCUUAAAUGAGAUGACCAGGAGCUCCUCUACCUGUCAAUACAGGGUUCUGGGUGAAGCCACUAGGCUCUAAAGACUAGAGCAAACCAUUCCUGAAUGAGACUCUCUUUUUCUCGAACCCUGUAGCCGGGACACUUUGUUUACCACUUAUCUAGCUGCCUCCUGUUCAUCUUUCAGCUUAAAUGUUACCUCCCCUGGAAUUUUUUUCCCCUCUGAUUCUGCAAGCCUUGACUCUGCAAUCCCAACUCCCCUGCCAUAGCUCUUUUCUCAGCACCCCCUGCACAUAUCACCGUGAAUUGCCCCUGCCUGUUUACCACAAGAGCAUUCCACGAGGUCCUGAUCUCUCUGAGUGCUGGGUCUGGCCCUUAAGCGCUGACCCCUAGCAAUGGAUACGGAAACUGAUACAUUGUAAGUGUCCAACAGUUCAGUGAGUACAGAUAGGAAAUCUGAGAGAUGAAAAGGAUCCAGUUUGGAGACAAUUUUGGGAGGAAAAGUGUUGGAGACAAUGGAAGAGCAAGUGCAAAGACCCUGAGGUAGGUUCAUCUUGAGAAAGAAGAAUGAGGACCCGUGUGGCUGGAAUGUGGGGAACCCAUGGACAGAUGGGAAGGGGAAAUCCAAAGAGAGAGAUGGGGCCAGUCAGGGGGGGGGCACCACGGGCCCUAGUCAGGAGUCAGAUUACUUUGUAAGUGCAAUGGGAGGCCUGUGGCAAUGUUUAUCAGGCGAGUAACACACUCUGAUUUUAAAAAGGUCACUCCAGUAGCUGAGUAGAAUUGAUUGGAGGGGGGCGGGCAUGGAAGCUGGGAGGCUGUUGUCAUUCUCAGUUUCUAUUUGGAGUCUCAGAAUUGGUGUGCUUCUAUUAACUGGAAAAAAUAACAGCAACAAAAUGUUUUUUAAUAUAAAGGGUUUACUUUGAACAAUCUGUUUAUCAGGCAUUUUUGGAAAAGUGAGAGCCCUUCGGUGGUUCUCUUUCAAACUGGAAAUGAUGGCAUUUCAUUACAAAUUUCUUCUCAGAGUAGAGCGUAAUUUUCUUUUAUAACAGAACCAAUAUUAAAGAAACAAAAAGGAAACAGAAGAAAGGAAGAAAACAAUUCACUUCUUGUCUUAGAAAAUCAAGGAUUUAUUUUAAGUUCUUUUAUAGUCCCCGACCAUGAGCAUAGAGUUUGGUUAAAGUUAUAAUAUGAGGGCUAUAUAUUGUAAUGAAUUCUGGUUUUUUUUUUUUUUACAUAAUGCAUGCCAUCCACAGGCUUUCCCCCAUGUUCUGCACAUGUGCUUAGCUCCGUGUCUGACAUAUAAUCAGUAAUAAAUGUUAAAACGUUAGCUUUCCUUCCUCUCCUCUCUCUGCUUAUAGUUCUAUGAUUGUGUUUGAAUGUAGUCUUCAUGGUGAUUAUUUUUUAGCAUUGCAAGGCGUUUCAUCAAGUGAACACUCAUUUAAAAAUGUACACACUGGGAGUUCCUAUUGUGGCACAGGGGAAACUAAUCUGACUAGUAUCCAUGAGGAUGUGAGUUCGAUCCUUGCCCCACUUGGUGGGUUAAGGAUCCAGUGUUACCAUGAGCUGUGGUGUAGGUCACAGACGCAGCUCGUAUCCUGAGUAGCUGUGAUUGUGGUGCAGGUCGGCUGCUGUAGCUCCCAUUAGACCCCUAACCUGGGAACUUCCAUUAGCCACAGGUGCAGCCCUAAAAACAAAACAAAAAAAAUAUAUUCUUUUGGAUAUUUAGUCAACUUAUUUUUUUAAUCACAUAAAUUAUUGCUUAAUUAAAAUUUAUUGUAUUUAUAGCCUUUUAUUGGUUUAUUGCAUUUGAACAACUGUUUCCAAAAGAGAAAUCUCACUUUUUUAAAAAAAAUGCUAGUUCCUUAAUGUACUGAGCAAGGCCAGGGAUCGAACCUGCUUCCUCAUGGAUACCAGUCAGGAUCGUUUUCGCUGAGCCACAACGGGAACUCCUUUUUUUUGGUCUUUUUUUUUAAUAAAACUAUCUUUUCCCUCCCCAAAUAUUGCAGACUUGCAAUAUAUAUAAUGGUCAGAAAUAAAGCUUUCUUGCCUCCCUACCUCUGAGAGGUAGCCCUGGAUUUCUUCAGGAAUGCUGAAAAUCCCUGCUUUAGGAUAAAUAACCAGAGAUAGCAUUUUGGAUGAAAGACUGUUAUUUCUUGAAAUUUGUAUAUGACUCUCACCUGUGUAUUUUUUAAAGGAUGGAAACUGUUUGCCUUGCUCCCAGAAAAGUACAAACAGACCAGUUUCCCAACUAAGCUGCUGGUGUUGUCACUUUAAUAAAAUUUGGUUAAUAUAGUAGGUAUAAAUGGCAUCUCAUGAGUAUUUGACUUUACCUGUCUUUGAAUAUGAAGGAAAUGUAUCAUUUCUAUGACAAACAAAAGCUACAAUUAAUUGGGCACUUCCUACAUCGGAGGCAAUCGAUCAUGGCUCUAGUACACAAUUUCCAUUUAAUCUUCACCUUACCUUUCUUGCGAAGAUGUGGGUGUUAAGUCUCUCAUGAAUAGGGAAACUGAAGCUGGGAGAAAUUCAAUAACUUUCUGUAAGUCAGAGUGUGUGACCACGGAGCUGAAUUUGGAACACUCCUCUGUUGGACCCCCCUGCUGAUUGCUUGCCUCUAGCAGGUAUGCAUAUGCACUGCCUAUUUAUUUGUUGUGAGCUUGAUGUUUGUCUCACUAAUUUGAAUUUGCUCUUGUUCAGCUGUAGGUAUGUAUUCAUUUGCUUGGCAUUUUUCAUGCAAAUAUUUUUUUUCCCAAGGCCUUUUGAAAGAUCCAUUUAGCAGGAAAUAUGUAAGCUGAGGGAAUCAUAAGUUGAGCCAAAAAGGAGGUCUAAUUUUAUUAGUGCACGAGGUGUGGGAUUGUGAGAAGCAGAAGACAUUUUUACAAUGUUUACUUACAAAACUUCCUUGGGGUUUCAAAAAGUGAAUGAAACAGAAAAACCUAAUAGCUCCAAGGGUUGAGAGAGGCCCUGCUGAUUGCUUCAGGCGCUAAUAAAAGUCCCCAUGACUCAAACAUUCCCCAUGCCCUUUUGCUCUUAUAUUCAAGGUGGGUAUAAUAAAUAAUGUUUCUACAGAGGAGGAAAAUGAGGUAAAAAAAAUGUGAAAUGACUUUCCGAACAUCAGAGAGUGUUUGAGUAGCAGAGAGGGAUUAAACAGAUGUCUGGAGGAGGCUGAAACACACGCUUUUUCUGCAAUAUCACAUCAAAAGUUGUCUACGGAGGUGAUUGUUUAGAGCAAAUUGUAGGCUUGAGAAAACUUCCAGUGGAGAGGCACCAGUAAGCAAGAUGUACUUCACUUCAAUAAGCAGAGACUGGCUGGGAACCCAGAUCUGUCCACUCUGGUGGUAGGUGGUGGGAAGGAGGGGAGAGCUGAGAUUUAUCCUUCCUUCUUCCCUCUUUUUUGUUCCUCCCGCCCGUUCUCCCUGCCUUCCAUUCAUCUCUUCAUCUACCCAUUAAGAAUACAUGGGAUGCUAGAGUUUCUGUUGUGGUUCAGCAGUAACAAACCCAACUUUUACCCAUGAGGAGGUUGGUUUGAUCCCUGGACUAGCUCAGUGGGUUAAGGAUCUGUUGCCCUAAGCUGGGGUGUAGGUUGCAGACAUGGCUCAAAUCCAGAGUUUCUGUGGCUGUGGUAUAGGCUGGCAGCUGUAGCUCUGAUUCGACCCAUAGCCUGAGAACGUCCGUGUGCUGUGGGUGUGGCCCUAAAAUAUAUGCAAUGCAGUAUAACACCACACAAAGAUGUUACUUACGACCCAUAUUCCACACACUGUUCAUUUCAUUACCUGUAACUCAUUUCUUGGGCAACUAGAAGUGUGUACCCCUUAAUCCCCCUCACCUCUUUCUUUCCCUCUACCCUCCUCUCCUCUGUAACACCUGUUUGUUCUCUGUGUUAUAGCUCUGUUUCUGGUUUUUGUUUUUGGGUUUUUUUUUUUAUGUAUUUUCAUUUAUUUUGUUUUGUUUUAGAUUCCACAUCUAAGUGAAAUACAGUGUUUGUCAUCCAGCAUAGUACCCUCCAUGUCCACCCAUACUGUCACAAAUGGCAAGAUUUCAUUUUUUGAUGUCUGAGCACUAUUCAUUAUAUAUAUACAUAUUACAUCUUCUUUAUCCAUUCAUCUACAGAUGGACACUUGGGUGGCUUCCAUAUAUUGGUUAUUGGAAGGAAUGCUGCAGGGCACACAGGGGUGCAUAUGUCAUUUCUAAGUAGUGGUUUUGUUUUCUUUGGAAAUUAUAUCCUUGUGUGGUGAUGUAUUGUAGCUGGACUUAUCAUGGUGAUCAUUUUGAAAUGCAUAGAAAAAAUUCAUUAUGUUAGUGUUUGAUGGACUAGCAUUGUGUAUUAGAUUGAUUAUACUUCAAAAGCAAGCAAACAUACAUACAAACAAACUCGCAGAAAAAGAGAUCAGAUUUGUGGUUACCAGAGGUAGAUGUGUGUGUGCGUGUAUGUUUUGGGGGGCAGGAGGGGGCUGGAUGAAGGCAGUGAAAAAGAUACAAACUAUCAGCUAUAAGAUAAAAGAAUACUAGGGCUGUCACGUACAACAUGACAAACAUAAUUAACUGGGCUCUACGUUACCUAUGAACGUUGUUAAGAGUAAACACUAAGAAGUUUCAUCACAAAUUUUUUUCUAUUUCUUUAAUUUUGUGUCUAUAUGAGAUGAUAAAUGUUCAGUAAAUUGCAAUAAUCAUUUCAUGAUGGAUGCAAGUCAAAUCAUGAUGCUGUACACCUUCAACUUAUACAGAGCUGUGUGUCAGUUAAAUCCCAACGCAACUUGAAAGAAAGCUUAUGUAUAUGGAACACAUUAUAUUAGGCAUUGAAGAAACUGAGAUGGAUGGAGCUGGGUGCCUGUCAUUAAAGAAUAUUCCUUCAAGUGGGAAAAGCAGGGGAAUAAAUGAUUAUAAAGCAAGGUGAUAUAGUUUGAUGGGGUUAACCUGGACAGGAUACCAUGAGAAUGUAGGGCUUCUCAAGUGAUAGGUGAUGAAGCUGGGGGCGUGGGUGCAUCAGAAUCUGAGUGGGAAGGGAGCGGCCAAGAAAAUUUGGAGGCAAGGUGAAUCUUGAGCUGAGUGUUUGGGGAAGGGUGCACAAAGCUUAAUGAGCUGAAGAGGGUGGGAAGUGUUCCAUGCCAAGGGUUCCUGCAAAUAUUCAGAGAGGUGAAAUAGAAGUAAAUAUAUGAGGACCUGGAAGUCGUUUGAAAAGGUUAAUGUGAAAGGGAGAGAUGGGGAUGGGGUCAGGAAGAUGAUAAGGUUUAGUCCAAGACUAGUCUAAGUUUGCUGCUACUGGGAGGAAUUUCCAUCCUGAAAGGGAGACCUGGAUUCUGGAGUCUUGAUUUUUUUGGUUUUGUUUUUUUAACUCACUUCCUGCAUCAUGUUUAAGAAUUUCCCUCUGGGCCAGUGCUGCCUGCUGUGUCAAAGGUCAUCUGACAUGACCCUCCACCGAAUGGAAUCAUAACUUAUUGCCAUGUCCUGGUUUGAAGAGAGAAAAGCAGCCCCCAGGCUCCUAAACCUAAAGUCAUCCAGGCUGAAGUGGAGGAGAUGAUUUCCAGCUCUGAAGGAGUGUGCCCUGAGAAUGAGCCUUCCUUUUACACCCUGCUGGGCUCCUACAGCCACACUAACCUUUCACCUGGAAAGCCCAGGGAUCUGCCUCUUCCCCAGGACAGUUCUUCCACGUCAGCUGUGGUCCUAAGGACCAAUGGAGAGGUCGUGAGGCGCAGUGAAGAAGCUUGUCUGGUACGUAUUCUGUGAUGACUAUAAAGUCCUUGUGAUAGUUAUAACUGAGGGAGCAUUUCCCAUGUGCCAGCAUCUGUGCCGCAUUGUAAACACCCCCAAGCACAUUAAUUUUCACACUAUCCUUGUAAGGUAGAGGUUGUUAUCCUAUUAAUGUUUUCUUCGCACUGUGAUUUCUGGGUUUACCCACUGAGCUGUGAGACCCUUAAAGGCAUCUCUUCUUUGCAUCUCCAAUGCUGUUUCAGAACUUCAAUAAGUACUUUGUUAACAGCUGAAUGAGAGUCAGUGAGGAGUACCCACUGUGGCUCAGCAGGUUAAGAAUCUGACAUAGCGUUUGUGAGGAUGUGGGUUUGAUCGCUGGCCUCGCGCAGUGGGUUAAGAACUCGGCUUUGCUGCAAGCUGAGGCGUAGGUUGCAAAUGUGGCUCAGAUCCGGUGUUGCUGUGGCUGUGGUGUAGGCUGGCAGCUGCAGCUCUGAUUGGACCCCUACCGUGGGAACUUCCAUAGGCCAGAGGUACAGCUGUAAAAGAAAAAAAAAAAAAAAAAAAAAAAAA